This 1761-nucleotide long non-coding RNA is filed under the name Capsicum annuum. RNAcentral's name for it is "long non-coding RNA (CANN_LNC020373)". The record is from RNAcentral. Lineage: Eukaryota; Viridiplantae; Streptophyta; Magnoliopsida; Solanales; Solanaceae.
UAAAGAUAAUGAGAUGAUUCUAUAUACUACUUGAACAGGACCUGGUACAGCCUUGUACCACUAUAGUAAAGACGUCUUGUCUUGCUCGAGUUUGUCCUUGGCGUAUCGUUUGUAUGGAGAAGUAUAAUAUAUCAGAGGCGAAUCCAGGAUUUUAAGCUUAGUUUUCGGAUUACGAUCCUUUUUGCUAUGUGCAUUUUAAGUGGAUAUCUCAACACAAAUACAUGAUUUGAGCCAAAGCUACUGAAUUCUGCCGUAUAUCCGUUCGGCCGAAGCCUGUAGCUUUCAUCAAACCUUGUAUUUGUAUUGAGAAAUCCAUUAUAUGUACAAAAAUCAAAUUCAGAAACCAGUUACUAACAUCUAUAAACUGGUAAAGUUGUUGCGAUGUGACCAGGAGGUCACAGGUUCAGGCCGUGGAAACCUAAGUUGCUCGGACUCUCCAAAAAUGUGGCCGCACCCGUGUCUGAUCCUUUAAAAAAUGCAUUACUUUUGAAGGAUCCGACACGUACCCAAUGACAUUGUUUAAGAGUCCCAAGCAACAUAGGUGGAAACAACCUCUGGCAGAAAUGCAAGAUAAGGCUGCGUACAAUAGACCAGGGGCGGAUCUAUUAAGGGUUCUCGGGGUGGCAAUCCACCCGCAAACUUCGAUGAAAACUCUAUAUAUAAAGAGUGUGUGUGUAUAUAUAUAUAUAUAAUGUAGUAUAUAAAUAACAAACUUGCCACCCAAACAACCAAAGUGGCCUGUUGUUUAGGUGGCACAAGGCUGUUAAUUUCACCCAACAGGCCCAGGUUCGAAAUUUGCAUGACAACAUGCCUUUUUAGUAAGUUUUAUCAAUCACUACAGUGUACCUCUGAAAAAUUUCUUGUUUUCUCGAGUUCAGUAUUUACUAUAUAAAUAUAAUUUUUUUUUAAUCAUGUAUAAAUAGCAUUGUUUUUCGUCGAAGGAGAUUCAAUGAACCUCUUGUCCAUAAGUUGGCUCGGAUUUACCAUUUGGAGUCUCCGAUUAAUUUAAUCAAUGAGUCUACUUGACAUCCGGAGACUCCAAAUCCUGGAUCCGCCUCUGAGCUAGAGUGUGUAUGGUAUGGAGGAAAAUUCAUUUAACAAAAUUAUUUUCACUUCAUGACUGUUAUAAAAUAACUAAGAAUAGAGAUGAUGGGGGUCUAUCGGAAACAGCCUUGCUACUUCUCCGGAGGUAGUGGUAUGGACUGUGUACAUCUUACCCUCCCCAAACCUCACUAUGUGGGAAUACACUGGGUUUGUUGUUGUUGUAGUCUACUUGGCACUUGGAGACUCCGAAUCCUGGAUCCGCCUCUGCAAUAGACCCUUGUGGUCUGGCCAUUCUCGAACCUCGUGCAUAGCUAGCGAGAGCUUUGGUGUAUCGGGCUGCCGUUUUUAGUUACUAAUAUCUUGCAAACUUACUGCAGGAUGAUUUGCUUCAACACAGGUUGCAUGGAAGAGACCAUAUGAUGCAGUUUGUGAAAAUGAAAAACAAGUUCAGUGUUGAAUUUGUGAAUGAUUUGCAAUUUGUAUUGUGUGAAUAUGUUAAUGUAAAAUGUAAUGUGUGGGAUUAUAAGUACAUCAAAUUUUAAAAAAAUUCAACAUUUUGCAAUAAGCACAGUCAAGGUUCUUGAAAUUUACUCAAUGCUACUGUUAAAGUUUGUGACCCGAAUUUUGUUGAUUCGCGCUGAAAAGUUCGUGGUGCGACCCACAUUUGUGAUUUUUUAUGGGGUCUGCGGUGGUAGCGGAGGGAUCGCACGUAAAUCU